Molecule: ribosomal RNA, 404 nt
Filed under: uncultured bacterium
Lineage: Bacteria
Description: bacterial SSU rRNA
Rfam family: Bacterial small subunit ribosomal RNA
Source: RNAcentral
UGGGGAAUAUUGCACAAUGGGGGGAACCCUGAUGCAGCGACGCCGCGUGAGUGAAGGAGUACUUCGGUAUGUAAAGCUCUAUCGGCAGGGAAGAAGAUGACGGUACCUGACUAAGAAGCCCCGGCUAACUACGUGCCAGCAGCCGCGGUAAUACGUAGGGGGCAAGCGUUAUCCGGAUUUACUGGGUGUAAAGGGAGCGUAGACGGCAGGGCAAGUCCGGAGUGAAAGCCCGGGGCCCAACCCCGGGACUGCUUUGGAAACUGCCCGGCUUGAGUGCUGGAGAGGUAAGCGGAAUUCCUAGUGUAGCGGUGAAAUGCGUAGAUAUUAGGAGGAACACCAGUGGCGAAGGCGGCUUACUGGACAGUAACUGACGUUGAGGCUCGAAAGCGUGGGGAGCAAACAGG